UAAGAUUGGCAACUGUUGCCAGACCAGAGACGAAUCUGUUCAGGACUUUUACCACCGAUUGUACCUGAUUUUCAACAAACACAGCGGGUUGGAGGAACCAGAUGAAAGAGGAGAUCAAGCUGGCACAUGGGAGUGUCACAUGCGGAGCUGGUCUUUGAAUGGACUGAGACCUGAAAUUGCACAAGCAGUAAAGACCAGCUACAUAGAGUGGAAAAGUGGAUGGCUGUCUGCUGUUUUGGCACAUGCUUUGCAUGCAGAGGAGAUGCAGACGGCGAAGAAAGAAAGUUAAGGCCAAAACGGACAAGGAGUGUCAGCUGGCGGUAGUGCAAGCCGUGUCGAAGCCGGGGGACUAUUCUGCUCAGCGAAACCAGCAGUGGAAGAGAGGAGGAAGAUAUCCGAACGAAACUAAAAGAAACUGUGAAAGAUGGGGUUGUUGGAUCUGCGAGACUAAUGAACAUAAGACAUUCAGGUGUACAAGAUGCAGGCUGUGCAAAAAGGUCGGUCAUUGGGCCGAGGAUUGCCCGGAGAACCGGCGAAAUCAACAGACAGACUGAAGCGAGGGAGACGGAGAGCAGAGAGGAGGGGUCCAGGGCGAGCAACCAACAGUCACAAGUCAGGGAAGUGAACAUUUUCUAACCACAAACACACACACAUACACUGAUGUACUUUCUGCUCUCUGCAAUGAAGAAAACGCUUGCUUUCCUUUGAAUAUGUCUGAUUCUGUUGAUAAGCAUCCUGACAAAUGUGCUAUUAUGUUUAAGAAUGAAGCUUUCAUGAUAAUGCCUAAAUAUCCUAUGCUAGUACAGGGGAUAUUGAUUGAGUUUUUAGCUGAUAUAUAAUAUAUAUAUCUAUACAGCCAUGUGAUUUGCAAUGCCAACCACAAUUAACAGGUGAAAUGAAUGAGUCAAUUUCUGCAUCAGGGCACGUAAUUUGUGAAAGGUUCACAGUGCCUUCUGAAUUAUGAAACAGGGGGUUUACAUGCUUUUCUCUAUAGCCCUGCAUGUCCAGUGCCUUUGAUGGGGAGAGAUUUAUUGUGCAAACUAAAUUUGACACUGACUACAGACUCUGGGGGUGUCCGAGGGGCAGAGAAAGAGCAGGUUUGCCGUCUGCAAGCAGAACCAAAAUGGGCAUAUGAAUGGCACAUCAUAAAUUCUGAUUGUGCUGGAAUGAUGUGUGAACUGACUAAAGAUCGAACAAAACCAUUUGAUAGAGAAAUCAUGUUGCCUGACAAAUUGCAUUGCACGUCACAUGUUGUAGUACAACCAGAUGAGUAUGAAAAAGACUGGUUUGAGGGAGGAAAAGGAGAAACUUUACGUUUUGAGAAAAUGUUUUAGACAGUAAAUGUGUGUGCAGUCUCAGUUUGCCUGACAGAAAAACAGUUUCAGUUUUACCUAAUGGCAGAAGAUUCUGUGCCUCACUUAUCACUUUCCAAGGACAGGAGCCAGACAGGGCCCAGAUUUGACUUGUUUGUGAAAAGGUGUUUGUGUUACAGACAGAGACAGAUAGGGGAGGGGGUGAAACACAGUGAGAGCCUGGGAGUGUUUAUGACUGAGUGCAAGCAUGACAUUGAAACAGAGAGAGUUGUGGUACCCAUUGACAAAAGAAAGAGGGAGAAUCAUUGCAUGACGGUUAUUUUUGCCUUCAGAUAUACAUCCAGCAUUAACAAAAGUGCCAUCAGAGUUAUGGGCAAAACACAAAUAUGAUGUGGGCUUGAUUAAAGGAUGUGAACCAGUUGUGGUCACCCCAAAAUCUGAUUACAGACCAUGUCAACGUCAAUACCCUCUAAAACAAGAGGCAAUUCUUGGUAUAAAAACAGUGUUUGAGUCACUAUUAAAGGAGGGGAUAAUGGUGCCAUGCAAUUAAUCUCCAGUUCGCACUCCAAUUUUUCCUGUAAAAAAGAUAAGAGACAAGGGUCAGCCCACCUAGUGUCGAUUUGUACAGGAUUUACAGGCUGUGAGCGCUGCUGACAGGCAAAGAGCUCCAUCAGUACCAAAUCCAUACACAAUUUCGUCACAAAUACCACAAGAUGCAACAUUCUUCUCAGGGGUGAAAGCUCCUCAGGAGAAGGUUGCUGAAACACCGUUGCACGACCUGAAACCAGGGGAUUCGUGAUGAUACGAGCAGAGAGAGCAACGUGGAUCCAGGCUAACCACUGCAGAAAGGUCCCACCUGCAUCUGAGGAAGAGGAGCGGAGGGAGUAAGGAUCUGGAGACACACAUGUCAACAAAGGCCAGGAAUCCAGCCUAAACAUCAAGCGUCCUUAUCAGCGGGAAGAGCAAGGUUAAGACUGAAAAACAGCAUUGAAGUAGUCUGCGCGCAAGUGAAAAGAUAACUAUGAGCAUCAUAGUUGGGUACAUCAUGUUGUUUUCAUAUUCCAGACAGACUACAGUGACAACGUUACCAAUAUCAUCACUCAGAUGAGAAAGGCCGUAAAAGAGCCUGACCAUACACAUAAUGCUGCUAAAUGAUUUUUGCUGCUAUUAUGUCUACCAUGUUUUUCUUUUUUUUAGUUGAUAUCCAGCUCAGUAGAGACUGGUGAAGUUUAGUGUUUCACAUCAAAUGGUUCAAUUGACUGUGUACAAUGAAGACGUUAUCAUGGAUUUGAGUAGGGAGAAAACUACUGAUGAAGGGACAAACAGUAGUGGAAGCUACAGUGAAAUGUGUUAAAUGUAUGAGAUUUAUGAUAUUUUUUUUCUUUGAAGUAAGAAAUGUUCAGGCCUAUCUGAAUGUAUGCUGUUUGCUUGCUUGAAAAAGGGUCUGUCCCCAUAUAAAAAGCCUUAGUUUAUUUUCUAAAUUCUUUUACAAACUUAAGAGGGUGAUCAUUUAUGCGAAGAUCAGGGAUGAAGAGUAUAAAUGUGAUGAAAUGCCUUAAGUUUGCUUUAUUUUGAAUCAUGUAUGUAUUUCUGAGUGUGAAAUUUUUGAUUUUGGAUUGUGUUUGUAUCUGCAACGUGACUGAGGGUCUGACUCGUGUCAGGAAUGCAGUAGCAGUGACUUACUCGUUUAGCCCGGUGAGUGUGUAGUGGAAAUAUAACCAGUAGAAAUGAAUAUUUAUGUUUUAUUGAUCAAUGAAUGAUAAAAAGGGGGAAAUUGUGGUGGAAAAAUUCAUUUAACAUUGCUUCUGUAUACCUAUAUAAGCAUGUGUUUUCUUUUCUUUACUGUGUGGGUUCAGAAGGGUGACACCUGGGGGGAAAACAGAUGUCUGAGGAUGACCUGAGGGGGUCACCUAAGUCCUAAAUGUGUGAGAAACAGCCCAUAGAGAGUGUCCCUUGUUAUGUGUGGAAAUUUACAGCUUCUGAAACUGUGUAACCUUGGAAGAGCAGAGGUAUAUAAGGUGGAGGACUGCCCUCUUCCUGGCUCGGUUUCACUCUGCAGGAACUCAGUGUUGCUGUCUGACCUUCUUUGCAAAGAAUAAAAGCUUUCUUUUUUAAUUA
Long non-coding RNA from Carassius auratus (goldfish), 3431 nucleotides. RefSeq lists it as uncharacterized. The transcript is spliced from 2 exons. The record is from RefSeq and is a predicted model, not a curated record. Lineage: Eukaryota; Metazoa; Chordata; Actinopteri; Cypriniformes; Cyprinidae.